GGAGGUUUAGCUCAGUUGGUUAGAGCCCCCGACUCAUAAUCGGUUGGUCGUAGGUUCGAGUCCUACAACCUCCACCA
Molecule: transfer RNA, 77 nt
Filed under: Mycoplasmataceae bacterium
Lineage: Bacteria; Bacillati; Mycoplasmatota; Mollicutes; Mycoplasmatales; Mycoplasmataceae
Description: tRNA-Ile
Rfam family: tRNA
About the family: Transfer RNA (tRNA) molecules are approximately 80 nucleotides in length.
Source: RNAcentral